RNAcentral lists this long non-coding RNA (1124 nucleotides) under Monodelphis domestica (gray short-tailed opossum). RNAcentral describes it as "lncRNA (ENSMODG00000036950.1)". The record is from RNAcentral. Lineage: Eukaryota; Metazoa; Chordata; Mammalia; Didelphimorphia; Didelphidae.
AUACUGUGAUAAUCUCCAUGUAAAGAGUUUCCAGUGAGGCUCUCCAUCUACUAAGGAAGACUGGCACUUGCUCUGCAAUUUAAAGCCUGGGGACACUAAGUGGGCAAUGAGGUGGCACAGUGGACAGAGUGCCAGUCUUGGAGUCAGAAAGAUUCAUCUUCCUGAGUUCAAAUCCGCCUGAGACACUAACUGUGUGUACCUGGGCAAGUCAUUUAACUCUAUUUGCCUCAGUUUUCUCAUCUGUAAAAUGAACUUGAAAAGAAAGUGACUAACCACUCCAGUAUCUUUGCCAAUAAAACCCCAAAUGGGGUCAGGAAGAUGGCUGAGGAAGUUACUAGUCAAGAGAAGGGAGAGCAUUACAAGUCUUGGGGACAACCAAAGAAAAUGGCCAGAGAAGAGAAAUGAAGAGUCUUGCUUGUGGAACCAUCACUGGAUGGAAGAGUAUUUGUUGGGAAGGGAGGAAGCCUGGCAAGUAAAAGAGCAUGGCAGAACCUAGUCUUCUCAUGAGAAUGAACUAACCAAGAACAAGUUGAAGCCAGAAAAAGAGAGAAUUUCACACCCUGGCUGGUAGAAACUAUUCAUCCAUCAGAGAAAACAUGCCAGAGAGGACUAGUCCAGUGAGAGCAGAAUAAUACCAUCACCUGAAGACAUCAAAGGCCCUUCAGAACUGGAUAUGUGAAUCACCUGUCUAGAAGUACAUCUUGACCACAAAUGUUCCCCAAAUGUAUACCCUUCCAUGCACAUACCCGGGUCAAAUUUGCCUCCUCUGUGUGUGCCCUGGCCACUCCUGUUCCUUACAUGUACCCACAUUCCCACUAAUGAUGUUUACAAUUGUGGGAGAAAGUGCCUCAAGUUGAUGGAGGAAAUGUUUUAUUGCUCCAUUAAUAUGCUACUUCAUUAAAUGUGUCUGUUUUGAAUUAAUUGUGUCUUCCGAUGACUAUUAUAGAUAAACUUAUCCAUGUUUAUUUAGCUUAUGAGCUAAGGCUUAAGUGGAUGAUGACCCACAAAGCACCUUCAACCUAGGGUAGCCUUCUAUGGGGAUUUGUCCUGUGAGCUUGAGUCAUGUAUGUGACUAUAAUGGAGUUUUAAAAAAUCAGUUCCAAGCACUCUUUGUUUUGUUUUGU